Molecule: ribosomal RNA, 254 nt
Filed under: uncultured bacterium
Lineage: Bacteria
Description: partial 16S ribosomal RNA
Rfam family: Bacterial small subunit ribosomal RNA
Source: RNAcentral
UACAGAGGUCUCAAGCGUUGUUCGGAUUCAUUGGGCGUAAAGGGUGCGUAGGCGGCGCGGUAAGUCGGGUGUGAAACCCUCAGGCUCAACCUGGGGACGCCACCCGAUACUGCUGUGGCUAGAGUCCAGUAGGGGAGUGUGGAAUUCCCGGUGUAGCGGUGAAAUGCGCAGAUAUCGGGAGGAACACCAGCGGCGAAGGCGGCACUCUGGGCUGGUACUGACGCUGAGGAGCGAAAGCGUGGGUAGCAAACAGG